RNAcentral lists this ribosomal RNA (468 nucleotides) under uncultured bacterium. Its description in RNAcentral is "partial 16S ribosomal RNA". It matches the Rfam family "Bacterial small subunit ribosomal RNA", at positions 28 to 507 of the family's 1533-position model. The record is from RNAcentral.
GACGAACGCUGGCGGCGUGCUUAACACAUGCAAGUCGAACGGAAAGGCCCGGCUUUUGUGGGGUGCUCGAUUGGCGAACGGGUGAGUAACACGUGAGUAACCUGCCCUUGACUGUGGGAUAACUUCAGGAAACUGGGGCUAAUACCGGAUAUGAUCUCCUGCUGCAUGGUGGGGGUUGGAAAGUUUCGGCGGUUGGGGAUGGACUCGCGGCUUAUCAGCUUGUUGGUGUGGUAGUGGCUUACCAAGGCUUUGACGGGUAGCCGGCCUGAGAGGGUGACCGGCCACAUUGGGACUGAGAUACGGACCAGAAUCCUACGGGAGGCAGCAGUGGGGAAUAUUGCACAAUGGGCGGACGCCUGAUGCAGAAACGCCGCGUGCGGGAUGACGGCCUUCGGGUUGUAAACCGCUUUCGCCUGUGACGAAGCGUGAGUGACGGUAAUGGGUAAAGAAGCACCGGCUAACUACGUG